CCAGUGGGGCUGCUGUUAUCU
This 21-nucleotide non-coding RNA is filed under the name Sus scrofa (pig). Its record names the gene ssc-miR-194a-3p. Lineage: Eukaryota; Metazoa; Chordata; Mammalia; Artiodactyla; Suidae. RNAcentral also lists the same sequence under 2 other names. The record is from miRBase by way of RNAcentral.